RNAcentral lists this ribosomal RNA (460 nucleotides) under uncultured bacterium. RNAcentral's name for it is "partial 16S ribosomal RNA". It matches the Rfam family "Bacterial small subunit ribosomal RNA", at positions 338 to 795 of the family's 1533-position model. The record is from RNAcentral.
CCUACGGGAGGCAGCAGUGAGGAAUAUUGGUCAAUGGACGAGAGUCUGAACCAGCCAAGUAGCGUGAAGGAUGACUGCCCUAUGGGUUGUAAACUUCUUUUAUAUGGGAAUAAAAUGUUCCACGUGUGGGAUUUUGUAUGUACCAUAUGAAUAAGGAUCGGCUAACUCCGUGCCAGCAGCCGCGGUAAUACGGAGGAUCCGAGCGUUAUCCGGAUUUAUUGGGUUUAAAGGGAGCGUAGGUGGAUUGUUAAGUCAGUUGUGAAAGUUUGCGGCUCAACCGUAAAAUUGCAGUUGAUACUGGCAGUCUAGAGUACAGUAGAGGUAGGCGGAAUGCGUGGUGUAGCGGUGAAAUGCAUAGAUAUCACGAAGAACGCCGAUUGCGAAGGCAGCUCACUGGACUGCAACUGACACUGAGGCUCGAAAGUGUGGGUAUCAAACAGGAUUAGAUACCCUGGUAGUC